AUGCUCCGCAGGGCGCAGCUUUAUACGACCGCAGAGGUUGAACCCUGAACGGUUGGGGCAAGUAUGGACACAACAUUCAAGCUGGAUUCAGCUCUAAAUUUGGAUUGUGAUUAAAUAGUUGACACUGCAUAGGUUUCUGACACAGAAUGAAUGUGGUCUAAUGAACUUAAAAUAUUUUUUUUGCCUUUGACCAAUUCACUAUGCUGUUGAAUAUUAAUCCUCUCAAAAAAAUGUUUGAAGAAAUUUUCUUUUUAUUUAUGAAAUCUGAAAUGAGAAAAAUUUAACACCCCCCCCUUUUUUUUUAUUUCACUUCCCCCUUUCCCUUUUCCCAAAACUGAUCUCAAUUCAAAUUUCUAAUGGAGUUUGCAACAAUAACUACUCUUUUAAAUACAUCAUAAAA
This 400-nucleotide long non-coding RNA is filed under the name Mytilus galloprovincialis (Mediterranean mussel). The record is from RNAcentral. Lineage: Eukaryota; Metazoa; Mollusca; Bivalvia; Mytilida; Mytilidae.